GAGCAAUGAUGUGAAAUUACAUGUCCAGAAGUGCGUUUUAUUAAAAUGCAUUUCAUGAUGGUUUCUACACUUGAACUGAGCUCA
This 84-nucleotide small nucleolar RNA is filed under the name Tetraodon nigroviridis (spotted green pufferfish). RNAcentral describes it as "Small nucleolar RNA U2-30 (ENSTNIG00000020634.1)". Lineage: Eukaryota; Metazoa; Chordata; Actinopteri; Tetraodontiformes; Tetraodontidae. The record is from RNAcentral.